GAAAAUCAUAGUGGGGAACAUACUUGUUGAUCUGUGGAGAUCAGAGACAACCAUCAGCCGCCUCUGCAAGAUUGCUGCCAUGAAAAGGAAAAUAGCACACAUGCCAAACAUGACAGUGAUGGGGAAUGCAUUCACCUGCAGAACAUCAUUUGUAUGAUUAAUGUUGAGUGGUAUGCGGAAGAAGUUCAUGAUCGUGCUUCUUGCCUCCUCAGGAAUAUACUGGGACCUCAUCUUCAUGAUUGAUGGCCAGAAAAUGCCAACACAGGAUUCAAAUAUACAGAAACCGAGCAGCUGUAGACAGCCUCCAAAUGAGAUGCCACCACCUUUGACCGAGGAGGGAGCAGACUUACGUUAGUGACAACAGGGAGGAAAAGAGUAAAAGCUGAUAUCGAAAACACAAUCUGCAUAUAACCUUCAACCUUCAGCUUCCGAGCUAACAAACGAGAGGCAAUUGAGCUACCCAACAUAGAGGAGAGCAUGAAUGUGGCAAAUAUGAAGCCAUGAGGAAUUUCUUCAUCAUUU
This 522-nucleotide small RNA is filed under the name Oryza sativa Japonica Group (Japanese rice). Its description in RNAcentral is "sRNA Os10g0519650". The record is from RNAcentral. Lineage: Eukaryota; Viridiplantae; Streptophyta; Magnoliopsida; Poales; Poaceae.